Small nuclear RNA from Pogona vitticeps (central bearded dragon), 165 nucleotides. Its record names the gene U1. It matches the Rfam family "U1 spliceosomal RNA". From Rfam's summary of the family: U1 is a small nuclear RNA (snRNA) component of the spliceosome (involved in pre-mRNA splicing). Its 5' end forms complementary base pairs with the 5' splice junction, thus defining the 5' donor site of an intron. There are significant differences in sequence and secondary structure between metazoan and yeast U1 snRNAs, the latter being much longer (568 nucleotides as compared to 164 nucleotides in human). The record is from Ensembl. Lineage: Eukaryota; Metazoa; Chordata; Lepidosauria; Squamata; Agamidae.
CAACUUAUACUGGCAGGGAAAAUACCAUGAUCGUGAAAGUGGUUUUCCUAGGGUGAGGCUCAUCCAUAGCACUUCGGGUGUACUGAUACCUGUGAUUUCCUCAAAUGUGUGAAAAUCAGCUGCAUCAUUUGUGGUAGUGGGGGACUGCGUUUGUGGUUUCUCCUG